AACGAACGCUGGCGGCAUGCCUAACACAUGCAAGUCGAACGAGACCUUCGGGUCUAGUGGCGCACGGGUGCGUAACGCGUGGGGACCUGCCCUUAGGUUCGGAAUAACUCCCCGAAAGGGGUGCUAAUACCGGAUAAUGUCUCCGGACCAAAGAUUUAUCGCCUUUGGAUGGGCCCGCGUUGGAUUAGCUAGUUGGUAGGGUAAAAGCCUACCAAGGCGACGAUCCAUAGCUGGUCUGAGAGGAUGAUCAGCCACACUGGGACUGAGACACGGCCCAGACUCCUACGGGAGGCAGCAGUGGGGAAUAUUGGAAAAUGGGCGAAAGCCUGAUCCAGCAAUGCCGCGUGAGUGAUGAAGGCCGUAGGGUUGUAAAGCUCUUUUACCCGGGAUGAUAAUGACAGUACCGGGAGAAUAAGCUCCGGCUAACUCCGUG
This 433-nucleotide ribosomal RNA is filed under the name uncultured bacterium. RNAcentral describes it as "partial 16S ribosomal RNA". It matches the Rfam family "Bacterial small subunit ribosomal RNA", at positions 29 to 507 of the family's 1533-position model. The record is from RNAcentral.